This 78-nucleotide transfer RNA is filed under the name Pseudomonadota bacterium. RNAcentral describes it as "tRNA-Asp". It matches the Rfam family "tRNA". From Rfam's summary of the family: Transfer RNA (tRNA) molecules are approximately 80 nucleotides in length. Their secondary structure includes four short double-helical elements and three loops (D, anti-codon, and T loops). Lineage: Bacteria; Pseudomonadati; Pseudomonadota. RNAcentral also lists the same sequence under 3 other names. The record is from RNAcentral.
GGGGGUGUAGCUCAGCUUGGUUAGAGCGCCUGCCUGUCACGCAGGAGGUCGCGGGUUCGAGUCCCGUCACUCCCGCCA